RNA transcript from Ziziphus jujuba (common jujube), 2711 nucleotides. It is a transcript of the gene named calcium/calmodulin-regulated receptor-like kinase 2, with no coding region annotated. The transcript is spliced from 10 exons. Lineage: Eukaryota; Viridiplantae; Streptophyta; Magnoliopsida; Rosales; Rhamnaceae. The record is from RefSeq and is a predicted model, not a curated record.
AUGUCUAAGUCCAACAAAGCCAUGUACGGCCAAAGGCGACCAUAGUCUUUCUCAUUUACCGGCUUUCCUUUGCCCAACCCGGGUCUCAUUUCUCACUUUAAUCCCAACAAAACCAAGUUUCUUUAUUCCACUAUGCUACAAAUGACCCCAAGUAGGAAACUUUUAUUUUAUUUUAUUUUUUAAUUUCUUUGUUUUCAGUUUUUGUCUUUUACUUGUUAAUGUUUGCCCUUCUCUAUUUGUGUGGUUUCGCCUAUGAACCGGAGGAAGGGUCUAGUGUCUGCUUUUUUGAGUCAUCGUUCUUGACCUAUAACAGGAGAGACAGAGUUGGGGAAAAUGGCCUUCGAAUUAUGUUGGGUUUUCUGCUGAAAACCUGUGGCACGUUUUCCUUGCAAGAUGUUUUCAUUGUCAAGAUUUCAAAAGAGACCAAAGAAUGGCUCAUAAAGCUGAUCUAGUUAUUAUAGGCAUUUCUGUUGGCUUAGCACUUGGUCUUUUGGUAGCUUUGCUCAUCUUUUAUGGCAUAAGGUGGUAUAAAAAUCAUGCUCAUCUUCGAAGAUGUGCAAAUGAGCGUAGUGUAACAGCUCUUCCUAUACGCACAAAUGGUUUUGGUACGAGUACUGACUUUAGCGCAUCUCUCUCAAAUCCAGUACCCAUUCAAGUAUCAGAGAUCCAGCACAAAAAUUCGCUGUCAUCCUGGUGGAACCAUCAUAACAAAGAUCGGUUUACUUCUGUAUCAGGCAUACUUAGAUACUCAUACAAGGAUGUACAGAAAGCUACACAAAAUUUCACAACUAUUUUAGGACAAGGGUCAUUUGGUCCUGUGUAUAAAGCGAAUAUGCAGACUGGAGAGGUAGUAGCUGUGAAGGUGCUUGCUUCUAAUUCUAAACAGGGGGAAAAAGAGUUCCAAACUGAGGUAUCUCUGCUAGGAAGGCUGCAUCAUCGUAAUCUGGUGAAUCUGGUUGGUUAUUGUGUUGAAAAAGGACAGCAUAUGUUAAUUUAUGAGUUCAUGAGUAAUGGAAGCUUAGCAAACCUUCUUUAUGGUGAAAAAGAAAGAAUUUUGAGCUGGGAUGAAAGGCUCCAAAUUGUUCUUGAUAUAUCACAUGGAAUCGAGUACCUUCAUGAAGGGGCAGUGCCACCUGUCAUACAUCGGGAUUUAAAAUCUGCUAAUAUAUUGUUAGACCGGUCAAUGAGAGCCAAGGUUGCUGAUUUUGGAUUGUCAAAGGAAGAGGUAUUUGACGGCCGGAAUAGUGGCCUUAAAGGAACAUACGGCUACAUAGACCCAGAGUACAUAUCCUCAAACAAGUUCACAAUGAAGAGUGACAUCUACAGUUUUGGUAUUAUCAUGUUCGAACUUAUCACAGCCAUCCACCCGCAGCAAAACCUAAUGGAAUACAUUAAUCUAGCUGGUAUGAGUCAUGAUGGUGUUGAUGAAAUCCUUGAUGAGAAAUUAGCUGGAGAAUGCAACCUUGAAGAAGUAAGGAGGCUAGCUAGCAUUGCUCACAAGUGCUUGCACAAGUUACCAAGAAAGAGACCGUCAAUAGGAGAAGUUUCACAGGCUAUUUUGAAGAUAAAACAGAGACGCCUCACGAAAGAAGAUACCAUGUCCUCGGCCUGUGGAGAUUAUUCACGAGCAGUGAGCAGAAUAGCUGAUCAACAGGUGGAGUUGAGUUUGAUGACCAGCAUUAAAGAAAGAGUGAUUUUGAAAGAAUCAUAGAAACAAAACCUACUUCGGCUUGGAGAGAUUACAGUCAAAUUAAGCAACCUCUUCUCAUUCUCAAACUUAAUGACGUUUGACAUCCUUCUACAGGGAUAUUUUCCAAAACCCAGCUCAGAGAAUUCCUUCACUUCCUACUUCGCCAGUUCUGGCAAUGUUUUUCAUUUCUUUAGUUCCUCAAAGUGUGGUCCAGACAUGUCAAACACUAUACCAAUCAUAAUAAUAUUGACAACUUGCAAUAUUAUUUUAUAGGGUAAAUCUCAGAUAUUGUCCCAAAAAUUAAAAUAAAUCUCAGAAACUUCCAAGCACGACAGAACAAGAUCACGCCUGACCCAAUUUCUCAAUGAUAAAACAUACCAUGCUCUUCUCUUCUUUUUCUUUUUUCUUUUCUGGUAAUCAUAAACCAUACCCUGCUAGUUCACAAGGAUAUAGAUAAAAAAACCCAAAACGAAAAGGGGUAAAAUAGAAAAUUGAACCAGAAUUUAAUAAAUGAGGACUAUUUCUACAUCAUUUGUUGAUUUUAGAAAAAACUGCAAUAGCACUACGUGAUGAUAGUGAAAAAAAUAUAUGUUCAACAGAAGAAGUUCAUCAUCACCUAACAAAAAGGAUGCAAAAACACAAGCAAGCUUGUAGAUAGUUUAUCCAACAUUUUAAGAGUUUAUAUACAUAGAUUCUGUAGUUCUCUCCUUACAUUCCCUUUUUCGGCUUUAUUUAACAUCCCCUAAUACAUAAAAGCAGAAGAGUAGAAUAGAAAGUAAUACUAUAAACAAAUGGAAAGAAGGCUCUCAUCCCUAACCGGCCAACAAUGGCAAGAGCAUCUCAACCUUGUUUUAUCUGGGGAUAGUAUUAUUCCCAAGUCACUCCCAACUCCUCCUAAUACGGUCCAUUCUCCUGCAAAGAUCAUCCUCUCUUCAUGGGACCAAUUUUCCUACAGGCUACAAAUACUCUUAUAAUUUUGAUAUCUGUUAAUAUCAACUCAAAACUGGCAUGAAGUACCAAG